RNAcentral lists this long non-coding RNA (512 nucleotides) under Fukomys damarensis (Damara mole-rat). RNAcentral's name for it is "lncRNA (ENSFDAG00000023909.1)". Lineage: Eukaryota; Metazoa; Chordata; Mammalia; Rodentia; Bathyergidae. The record is from RNAcentral.
UUCACAGCUGUGCUUUAAAAAUAUAUUUUGUCAGGUUUUCGGCCUUAUACAAAAUGUCAUAUAACCGUUUGAGGAAAGAAUUGCUCUUGCCACAUGAAAGUAUCUUGUGAUACAUUGGUUCCAAGCAUAAAUAUGCUGCAUGGAUUUUACAAGUGCACAUACAGGCUUUGUUUCUUGAAAACGAAGGAGAAAUAUCAAAUAUUGCAUGCCUUACAUCUACUUUUCUUUCCCAUGACUCUACACAAACAAAAAGGAAAUGAAAGCAAAUCUGUCUGAAAUUUAUGAAUAACUAUAAUCUGAAGAAUCAGUAACUCCCAACAUGUACUCUAGAAACUAGGCAAUCAAGUGUUAUCUACACAUAGGCCAAAGGCUGUUAGUCUGGGAAUUUUGAUCACACAGAAGGACUAAGCAAAUUAAUAAUGUUCAUGAAGAUUCUUAAGAAACUAAAUUAUAGAAAACAUAAAAAUAUUGCUGAAUAUAAAUUAUGGAUCAAAAAUAAAAUGUAUGAUGGC